GGACCAAGGAGUCUAGCAUGUGCGCGAGUCAUUGGGAUAUUGACUAAACCUAAAGGCGCAAUGAAAGUGAAGGUCCGCCUUGCGCGGACCGAGGGAGGAUGGGCGGUCCCGAGGGACCGCCUCGCACUCCCGGGGCGUCUCGUUCUCAUCGCGAGAAGAGGCGCACCCAGAGCGUACACGCUGGGACCCGAAAGAUGGUGAAUUAUGCCUGGUCAGGACGAAGUCAGGGGAAACCCUGAUGGAGGUCCGUAGCGAUUCUGACGUGCAAAUCGAUCGUCGGAACUGGGUAUAGGGGCGAAAGACUAAUCGAACCAUCUAGUAGCUGGUUCCCUCGGAAGUUUCCCUCAGGAUAGCUGGCGCUCGCUUCUCGCGAGUCUCAUUCGGUAAAGCGAAUGAUUAGAGGCAUUGGGGUCGAAACGGCCUCAACCUAUUCUCAAACUUUAAAUGGGUGAGAUCUCCGGCUUGCUUGAACUGUGAAGCCGCGAGAUAUCGGAUCAGAGUGCCAAGUGGGCCACUUUUGGUAAGCAGAACUGGCGCUGUGGGAUGAACCAAACGCCGAGUUAAAGCGCCUAAAUCGACGCUUAUGGGAUACCAUGAAAGGCGUUGGUAACUUAAGACAGCAGG
This 624-nucleotide ribosomal RNA is filed under the name Trochalus exasperans. RNAcentral's name for it is "eukaryotic LSU rRNA". It matches the Rfam family "Eukaryotic large subunit ribosomal RNA", at positions 663 to 1244 of the family's 3401-position model. Lineage: Eukaryota; Metazoa; Arthropoda; Insecta; Coleoptera; Scarabaeidae. The record is from RNAcentral.